ACAUACAUACCACAACGCUACAGAGGAAGACAGGUGCGGCAACCAUGAACCACGGUCUCCUGAUAACCGUCGCCGUCGUCAUCGUCUGCGUUGCAGAUGUGUAUGCGGUCAAGUAUGACCCCUCUCAUUUACCAUAUCCUUGUGACCCAGAUUAUGGUGAACGCUGCAUUCCAGAAUCACAGAAACACAACUGUACCAACGUUCUUGACAUCGAAUGGGCGUUUUGUGAAGAUCAACAUGAAUUUUGUUGCAAGGACUUUCUAACCAGAUCCCAUAGAACACUGUAGCAGACCGGGAUUCUUGUAGUAAUGUUUACCCAUGCCACAGCUCGAAGUCUCUAUAAACCAUCUGAUGUCAAUGCUAGUUCCUUGGUGCUUUCAGACUAUAUAAAUGUUCCACACUGUACACCCUAAGAAGAAAGAAAUGUUAUUGUAGAAAUGGGUGGACCUUCAACCUUUAUGGACCUUGCUAUUAAAGCAAUUUCUCCCAAUUGAAAAAAUGAUUGACUUUGUAUUUUCAUAUUGUUGUGUUCCGGGCGUAUGCAAGCAAAUCGAUCAAAAUAAAAUGUGCAUCGUA
Molecule: long non-coding RNA, 576 nt
Organism: Haliotis rufescens (red abalone)
Lineage: Eukaryota; Metazoa; Mollusca; Gastropoda; Lepetellida; Haliotidae
Exons: 2
Source: RefSeq, a predicted model, not a curated record